Non-coding RNA from Lonchura striata (white-rumped munia), 8126 nucleotides. The record is from RefSeq and is a predicted model, not a curated record. Lineage: Eukaryota; Metazoa; Chordata; Aves; Passeriformes; Estrildidae.
GUAGAAUUUAGAAAUUAGUUUCUUUGUUUUUCUUAAUUUUGCAUGUGUCCUUUCAAGCAGAAAGAAUGCUGGUACAGAUUGAAAGUGUUCACAGUUUUUCUUCCUGUGUGCUUGCCAAAGGUGCAAAGAAAACAGAUUUUUAAAAGUUGUGUGCAAGCUAUACCAGUGCAAUCAAUAGGGGUCUGGAAAGGUUUUCUGAAGUGCAACUUUUACAAACUCUGCUAGAACUUGGAGCUUGUUACACUUUACAAGUUCCCUGUAAAGUGUUUCAUAUAGCAAUCCAGUUAAUACAUCAACUUCUGACAAAAAACUUUUUGUAAGCUGGGAAAAGAGGUGGGAGGGGGUUAGUCUCAUUCAGUUGUAGUUUUAAGCUGCAGUUGAUUCUAAAAUAGAAUUAUAAUAUACCAAGCUGUACAUUGAUAAAGUUUUUGUGUGCUAUAUCAGCUUCCCAUAGUUAUGCUUUUUUUAGCUAACAGGCUAUAAAAAUUGACAUACUGUACUUGUUCAAGUCAGAACUGACUACCUUUAAUUUCUUGCCUUUCACAGAAAUCCAUUGCAUUCUGUUUGCUAUUCAUCACUCCACUAGAAGCAUCAAUAUUGCAGACCCAAGUAACAGUUUUAACUUUGGUUUGUCUUCCUGAGUGCAAUUGGUGGGGAGUUGGGGUGCACCUCAUACAAAUUAAUACAUGAGUCAAGCUAGUAUAAACAGUAGUUGGAGUCUUAGAUUAAGUAAAAAGGGUGUAAAACAGAAUUUGAUGCUGGGAGUCCUUAACUGCACUUCUAAAUUUCCAGGUAUUUUUAUACUUCUGAAUUUCUCAAUGGUUUUACUUCCUGGUUUUUAUUUUUAGCUGCCUUUGUUAUUUCAUGUUUAUCUUAUGCAGUAGUUCUCCAGCUAGUCUAAAUCUGUUUGCUCAUGAUCCUUGGAGAGAUGGCUGGACACAUGAUAUAGAUUCUCCAAAUUUAGUAGCAGUAAAUUUCAGUGAUCAGCAGUCAUCUGCUUUACUUUAGUUAUUAAUACUUCACAUUGAAAAAAAAUGUAGUUCUCUCAGUCUUUUGCCAUAGUUAUAUGGGGAGUAUUGUUAAUAUAAUCACGAAAUAGUUAACACACUUUUUUCUAAAUGUCAAAGUUUGUGCUACCUAAACUCUAAAUUAGUGCUAGUUAUUCUGUUCAAAUAUUCAUCUUUUUGUUCAGAGAAUUAUUUAAAGCAUUAAUUCUGAUUUUUUUUUUUCACACAUCUUUAUCAUCAUCUUAGAAAUAUACAGCUGCUUGCUAGAAAGUAUGGGAGGACCUAUUAUACAUGGACUGUGUGUAUAAGCUUGGUCCUGGAUUACUGCACCUCUUUGAGGUGAAGUGAGGAAAAUUUAUUUCUGUGUUAGAGUUAUUUCAUUGAAAAGAAAAACACAUGCAACAAAAUUGCUAGUUUAGAUUUUUUUAAAAAAUUUAUUUAGUUUUAUUUUUUUCUCUUUAGAGCUGCAGUCUUAAACAGCAAUUAAAAAAUCUUGCUGCUACUUCAGGAGAAGAGCAAUCAAGGUAUAUAGUUUAUUCUCUUAAUUCUUCUUUCUCUGACCAGAAAGUAGCCUCAAUUAAAUUGAGUGAAUUAACAGAGUAUUGUAGGUUAUGCCUGAACCAAAUAAUAAUGGAAUAGUAGCUGAAAGUUCACUGAUACCUUUAAAGUUAAUGUUCUGAAAUAUUUCAGUACAAUUCUUUUUUCUUUUAAAAAUUACAUGCAUAUCAUUUUAAAGGCUGCUGACCCCACAAAUUAGAAGGAAAGACAGUUUGUUAACAAAGAAACAAGAAGGCAGGAGUAAAUAUACUUCUAAAUCUUAGAUUUAAGAAUGAACAAGAGUUAUAAAUUUUAGUAUGUUUGCAGUAUAAAUACUGCAGUGUUGAGUAAGCAUAUGACAAAAAUAAAAUGAAACUAUUGUUUUGGCUUGGAGAGAGGGGUGUAAACAGUGUAUGAGCAAGAUACAGCUACAUACACUUUUAGAUCUGAGAAUCUUAGAGAAUGGAAAUGUUCAGAUUUCUUGGUAGUGAACAGUGAGAUUAUCUUUUUCCCAGAUUAAUUAAAUAAAACCUUAAAAGUAUUUUCCAAUGUUGAACUGCCAUCGUUUAACUGCCAUCAUGUUUAUUCAUAUUUAGUGAUGUGUUAGUGACACUGAACUGAGAGAGGAGAACUUGGCAAAUCCACCAGCAGUUGUCCAAAAAGCUACACUGCAAAAUGUCCUGUCUAACAUAGAAGUAACUUACUCCAUUAGUGGAAUGCAUAGAGCAGGACACACUUGUCAAAGAUGCCUCACUUCAUGCUGUGCCAUUUCAGUGCAAACCCUGUCUAAUUUCUGGUUAAACUAAGCUAACCUGGCAAAACUGAGAUAUGGACAUUUGUAAUUGCUGAUGUCAGGGCUGUGGAGGAGAGUAGCACUGGUGGACAAAUGUAAUCCUUUUACACUGUGGAGCAUUUAAGCCUUUCAGGUUCACAUUCAGUUUUCUAAUUUUAAUCUGAAAUAAGGUUGGGAAUGGGUCAAAAUUAACAGUGAAGGAAUAGCCUUGCUUUCAUAUUGGAUGUGUGCUUUGUAUAAAUGAGUAAGGAACUAAAGCAAUGGAAUAUGGUUGUGAGCAAUGGUGUAUAACUAUAGAUGAGGAAUAGCUUCUGGCCAAGAAGGGAAUGCUUUGCUUGUAUGACCAAAAGGCACAAAGUAAAUAUUUAAUUUUAGAUCAUGUUCUUGGGCAUUAAAGGCAACAUACAGUGUUUAAUACCAAAUCCUUGGUAUCUUUUACUCCAAGUCACUGACCUGUCAGUCAGAUUGCAGGCCUAGUGGUACCUUCUGGAUGUAAUAUGUUACACAGAGGUUUAAGGAGCUUAUUAGUAGUUACAGUAGCAUUUAAGGAGCUUAUUAGUGUGUUUAGUAGCCAGAAUUGACUUGUAGCUUGUUUUCAUAAGGUCGGAAAGAUUGAGUUUGGCUUGGUGUUGUCAUAAACUCUGAACUGUAAACAAUAAAAACAAAAACUAUAUUUUAUAUUGGACUUGGUCUUUGAUAAAUCAACUAAGAAAUACUGAAAUUAAGGAAAGGCUCCUUCCUUGCUUGGGAACACUCUAAUUGCUAAAACAAGUGCAAAUAUAUAUACACACACUUCUCUCUUUUUUCCUUUCUUUUUUUUAACAGUUCCAGUACAUUUUUUUCAAAGAGCAUUCCUGACUUGUGUAUGUGAGUUGCUUCUGUGGAAUUUCAGUUUUGCAUCUUCAUAAUCCUUCUUAGUCAGCAGAGCUCUUAAUUUUAGGGACUUGGGAAAUGUAAUGGAACUGCUUGCAUAUGUGAUUUCUAGCUUUUAUUGAGGUCUCCUUUGUCUGUCAGUCUCUCAGCCACAGACUUAAGACACAAAGAUGGAGGUAGGAUAAGUACUCUUGGUAACAACUAUAUUGACUUUAUGACCAAAGCAUAAUGGUAUACAGCUUUGUGCAGACAUUCCUGGACUUCAGUAGAUUCCUGGCUCAGAUAUCAGUGCACUUGUUAUCUUAGACUUUUUCUCAUUCUUUUCCUGUUCCACAGCCCCUUCUUCUCACAUAGACUGCCUUCAAUUUUAUGUGAUAAUUUGCUUAUUCUCCUUGCAGAUUAUGUCUAUUUUAAUAGCAAUGUAAAAAGCAUACAGUCACAUUGUAUUGAAUUUUGAGUUGGUUGGUUUCUUUUGGGAUGUUUUGUGGUAAAGUUAAAAGGAAAAAAAAAACAACGACAAAACACCUUCCAAAAUAAUUUUUAAAAAAUAGAAAAACUUAAACAGUCUGUAAUCCUGUAAUUCAUGCAAGGUUUUGUGUUCAUGUUUUGUAUGGGUGGGUGGAAUUACCUGCAAGUUUUCUUACUAAUGUACUUUCUGUAGAAAUUAGCAUAAUAGUUCUGCCAAGUCUUCAUUUCAUGGUGUGUAUAGUUUAAUUUUAAAGGGAUUUAGUUAUGCAACAGGAAAAAAACUCUACAUACUUAAGCUAGAAGCUGAAAUCAACCAGGCAAUUGAAAGAAUAGUAUCUGUUAAAACACAUGGAGUUUUAAAUUAAGAAUUUGGCCUGAAUGUAAAAACUGAGAAAUCCAAAGGUAUUAAAUAUUACAGCUGUCUUAUUUAAGUCAUUUUCUUUCAGUCUUUUAAGGUAAAUAUACACAUACAAAACAAUAUUUUUUCUUGCUAGAGGACAUUUUUCAUGCUCUUUUUCCAGAAAAGUUGAGUAAAUCUUUUACUGCUGGCUGGAAUUUUUGCUUACAUCUAUCUUUAUCUAUGCCUUCCACAUUACACAUAUAUGUGUGUGCAUGUGUGUGUGUAUACACACAUAUAUAUGGUGGAGAUUUUGUCUUUACUUUUUCUUCUCUUGGUUUAUGCCUAGCACAGUUUCUGCAGGGGGGAGACCAGCUGUCAGAGCAUACGUUUACAGUAUAGGUUUAUUUUGACUUUGCACUCCUGCUUUAAUUCACCAUGGUAAGUUGGGUAAGUUGUGCCUAUUUAAUUUAGUUUGCCUAUUUUAGCUGUCUGAUUUAAAAAACAAACAUAGGUUGUAAGAGGUGGGGUGGGGAUAAGUGUAAAUAGAGCUGUGCGUGUAUAAAAUGUACUGGAAAUGGCUCUUUGAUUCCAGUUCCUAAAGUUAGCAUUCCUAUCUGGAUAAACCAUAUAAAAAGUGUUGCUGCCGUCACCUGUAAAUGUACAUUGGCAAUCUCACUUUAAUUGGCACAUUUGUGGAAAUGGACUCUUCUAACAGAUAUUGCCCAGGUGUAGUAGGAAGGGAGAAAAGAAAAUUCCCAAAAAUUUCUCAAAUCUUUCCCCGACAUGGCCUGUCAAAUCUAUUUUUGUGCUUCCAGAUAGCCCUGUUAAUUUCCAGAUGUUGUCUGUCAUUACCUGACUAGAAGGCUUAUUGCAAUGGAGUGGCAUGCUUGGGUCUAUGCUGUGUAAGUAGCUUUUGUCUUAACAGUUUAGUAUUAAAACAUUAAAGAAAGCAUAGUUCAUGUUAUCUAGGGAACCAGUAAAAGGACUGCACACAUUUAAAUCUCUGACAUUCUUUAGCCUAAGAAAAUGAUAUCUAGCUGGACCACAACUCCACAUCUCUUGCCUACAUCUAGUAAAGCAGCAUGGUCAAUUCUAGGCUGGGGCAGAUGAACUCCUGCUCGUAAUAACAGAUAAGUUACUAGUCUUGCUAACAAUUGCUUUGGGUUAUAAUUUUUUUUUCCUCUGAAAUUAAGGCUCUUUUGAGUAUGUCUGCCCAAAAGUUGCAGUAAGGGUAAGCUGCAGAGCUAACAGAUGGCUUGAGGACUCAUAGAAUAGUUCACAGAAGCUUAUUUUGAAAUUAGGUCUUAUUCUCUUACAUAUGAAAGUUGUUGGGGUUUUCUUUUCACAUCUGAGUUUCCAGAUGACAAAAAGUCAGACUAGGAAAUAACCCAGAUUUUUUACUUUCUUUUGAAAUAAACAUCUGCAUAAUCUUUAGUUUUUCUAACUAGACACAGUUUUCCAGUUUGUGGUUCAUAUCUCAUUAAGGUAUUAUGCUCAGGUGACAAUAAAAUCGAGAGCUUCACUGUAAAUAAACAUUUACAGUAUAAAUGUAAAUAAACUAGCUUGGGUUUUCUAAACAUUUUGUAGUUUGUUAAUACAACUGAUGUUACUACAUGAAAGCUAAAGUUCGAUAAGAAAAUUCUGCAUUCAUCUCAGAGUAUGUUUCUGUUUCCUUGAAGCAUGGUAGACACCUUGGCAUAACGUAGCAGCACAUAAUGGUUUGUGGGUUUUGAAAAGGUGCAGGCCAUAUUGUGCUGCCUCAAAAAUACAAGGAUUUCAUCACCCUGAAGAGAAAUACCACUUAUGUAUUAGUCAAUCUUGUGAUGCUGAUGUCUGUCAUACUUUAGCAGCACGUAAAUAUUGGUGUUAAGACUGUAAAUAUCUCCAGUAUUAACUGUGCUGCUGAAGUAAGGCUAGCCACUUCUGCACGCGAGUCGUGGGACAGGACAUUGCAUGUAUUCCCUUAUGCCUUUUUGUUGCUAAAAUUUUAUAUAUUGUUUGUAUAUGAACACUUUCUUUGUUUUUUUCAUUUUCAUUUAUUCAGAAACUAUAUUUAAAGCUUCAUAGUAUCUGAUGGUAAAUAGACUAGGCAUAUAUGUACAAUUUUGCUUUGGUUUAUGUGAAAACUGAACUUUCUAAAGGAGCCGUCUCAAGCUACACCUAUCUAACAAUACUUUGGUAAGUGUGUUUGUUUAUAUAUUUAAAAACUAUAAAAAUUAUGUUACUUUAAUUGCCAACACAUUUCUUUAUUAAAACUCUUAAAACUGUGCUCAUUUUUACAAUCUUUUCUAAAUUAGUGGAACUUGGAAAUAUUUGAUCACGCUUUUAACAAAGAGCUCAUAAAGAAAAAGUGUCUUUCAAUUUUUUUUAACAAAACUUAUUAACCACUUCAUUUCUUAAACCACUGGGCUAUAGACAGGUAGCAGUUUUAUGGUUAGAAGUUUAGACUGUAUAUCUGACUGUGAAUUUACUAAUUUUUUUCCUCAUCUUCCACUAAGAUUUUUCUCUUGCAGGAGAAUCUUUCAUUGAGAUGAUUGAAAUUGCUGCAGUGAGAAUGGAAAUUACUUUGGCUCCUUUCCUUUAAAAGCUGCAUGCGAGAACUGUGUGGGUCUGCCUGUGGUGCUGGGCUGGGGAGGAUGUCGGUGGCUUGUGCAAGCAAGAAGCCUGAUACUGCUAUAGGUGCUGCAGAAAUUAGUAAAAAAUUCUCUAGGCAAUGGAACAAAUGGCUGUAAGUAGAGAAAACAAUGUCUUCGUGGUUAUGUCAAGUGAGAAUUCCUAAGAACUGGAUGUGAUGUUGAUUUUUCUGCCUGUAUUCUUGCAUGCUGCUGGGCAAGUAACCAGGCCAUUGUUUCUGUAGCACGUACAUUGCGCUUUGCUUUAGAGGUGUCUUGAUUUAAAACUCGUGUCUAAAAGAAACACUGGUGGUUCACAUUGGUAGCUGAGCUUCUUAGGAGUUGUCAUUUGAAUUAAAAUACUCUGUGAAGUUAUGUCUGUUGACAGUCUCCUAUCUUCUUAAAGAAGACUUCAAACUGUAGCAUACUAUGAUAGUUCCUCCACGUUCAUGUCACAUUUAAAGUAGGGGUAAAUGGACACAGCCCUUGAAGGGCUGUUAGCUGCUUUUGUUUAGUAGCUGUACUACAGUAAUGCAUUGCCUCAUGGAAUUUUCUAUGGCAUUUAUUAAUUCUGAUUUCAGAGGAAGAGGUGAGUACUGUUCAUCUUUUAAAGAUCAGAUCUGCAAUAAACUUUCCUUGUUACCAGCUCAGGCUGGGAAGCAGAGUUUCUGUGCUGUUUAUUCAUGGCCUAUUUCUGCAGUCCUGUGAACUCCAAAAUACUCUGAUUUGUGUCCUGUCUUGUCACUGAUUCAUUUUGCAAAUAUAACUCAUUAUUACACCUGUGUGUGCCAUUUUUUUGUCAUUUUUAUAGGCAACAUCGUCAGCAUUGUGCAAAAUCUUCUAUGUAGUAAAGGUAAUGUACAUGUUUGAACUUUAGCAUAUUUGACAAUAAAUUUACCUGUGAAGAUCUAUUUUGCAGAAAGAAUGAGCUAUUUAAAUUGUAACAAUUUCUUAAUGUACAGUGGUAAGCACUGCAUCUCUAAAAAUGUAAAGUAACUUAUACCUAAGUAUUUAGGACUUUUACUACCAUUUUCUUCAAAUUUCAAAGGCAGUUUUCUUGGUACUGCCUACAGCAAAUUGCUAAAUGAGUGUGGUCUGUACUAGAAAUUUGGAUACAGUGAUCUGAAAAUGUUUCAGCUUUUCCCUUAGUCAUGAUAUCUUAAGUAUAGGGGAAAGUCUCUUCUAAUCAGGUAGUCACAUUAGCAGUAAUGGUUGGAUUUGAAGUGUUUAGACUACCUUUAUCUUCAUCACAACCUAUUGUCACAGAAGUCACAAGAAGUGCUAGAAAUAUACCCAAAGUGGUGAGCUGCUAUUGUACCAGUUUAACAGCAGCAGCAAUUCUUCAUAUAAAAAACAAACAAAACAUUUUAAAUGUAUUUGAAGGAAAACUUCUGAGAUGUAUGCAAAUCUCCUUUCUAAGGUGGCAGUUGUAAUUGUAUCGCAAUAAAAUAUUUAACUACUAAAAGAAAUAAAAAAAAAAAGAUGGAAAAAUGCAA